CCUUCUCCAUGUCGCCUAAAAAUAAAGAGGGAGCAUCCAAGAGUUGGUUGCCCCAACAUUUUACACACCAACAUCUUGUUUCUCCUCUUCUUCUUGGUAUGUUUUCUUAAUAUUUUCUUACUAAUUUUUGGAUAUCAAAAAGAUACUUUUUUGCUAAUUAUACAACAGAAAAUUGAAGAAGAAAAGUUCUUCCCAAGAAGAGAAAGAUCAAGAAAGAAGAAGGGUCUUCUUUCUGGCGUGCAGCCUUGAAGAA
Molecule: long non-coding RNA, 253 nt
Filed under: Elaeis guineensis (African oil palm)
Lineage: Eukaryota; Viridiplantae; Streptophyta; Magnoliopsida; Arecales; Arecaceae
Description: long non-coding RNA (EGUI_LNC057471)
Source: RNAcentral